This 404-nucleotide long non-coding RNA is filed under the name Micromonas commoda. RNAcentral's name for it is "long non-coding RNA (MCOM_LNC000323)". Lineage: Eukaryota; Viridiplantae; Chlorophyta; Mamiellophyceae; Mamiellales; Mamiellaceae. The record is from RNAcentral.
CGAGGGCAAGGGUUGGGACGGGGUCCUGAUCCUUGACUACCUGAUCAACUCCGUCACCAUCGUCGUGGUCGCCAUCCCGGAGGGUCUCCCCCUGGCCAUCACGCUCGGCCUCGCGUUCGCGAUGCGCAAAAUGAUGGCGGACCAGAACCUGGUGCGCCGCCUGGAGGCGUGCGAGACGAUGGGUAGCGCCACGCAGCUCAACGCAGACAAGACCGGGACUCUGACCCAAAACAGGAUGACGGUGACGGACGCGUACCUGGGCGGCACCCAGUACGACUCGGUCCCGCCCGAUGACAUAUCCGAUGAGUUCGCCGCAUUACUCGCCGAGAGCAUCUGCGUCAACUCCGACGCCAACCUCGCGCACAACGAGAACGGCACCGUCGACCACAUCGGAUCCAAGACGG